Molecule: transfer RNA, 86 nt
Filed under: Salpingoeca rosetta
Lineage: Eukaryota; Choanoflagellata; Craspedida; Salpingoecidae
Description: Salpingoeca sp. ATCC 50818 Selenocysteine transfer RNA
Rfam family: Selenocysteine transfer RNA
Source: Rfam by way of RNAcentral
GCUUGGAUGAGUCGGGACGGUUCCCGGGGCGGGCUUCAAACCCGUGGGUCACAAGCGUGGCAGCGGUUCGACUCCGCCCUCCGAGC